ACAUCCAGAGAACUUAGCAGAGAUGCUUUGGUGCCUUCGGGAACUCUGAGACAGGUGCUGCAUGGCUGUCGUCAGCUCGUGUUGUGAAAUGUUGGGUUAAGUCCCGNAACGAGCGCAACCCUUAUCCUUUGUUGCCAGCGGUUCGGCCGGGAACUCAAAGGAGACUGCCGGUGAUAAACCGGAGGAAGGUGGGGAUGACGUCAAGUCAUCAUGGCCCUUACGGCCAGGGCUACACACGUGCUACAAUGGCGCAUACAAAGAGAAGCGACCUCGCGAGAGCAAGCGGACCUCAUAAAGUGUGUCGUAGUCCGGAUUGGAGUCUGCAACUCGACUCCAUGAAGUCGGAAUCGCUAGUAAUCGUAGAUCAGAAUGCUACGGUGAAUACGUUCCCGGGCCUUGUACACACCGCCCGUCACACCAUGGGAGUGGGUUGCAAAAGAAGUAGGUAGCUUAACCUUCGGGAGGGCGCUUACCACUUUGUGAUUCAUGACUGGGGUGAAGUCGUAACAAGGUAAGCGUAGCGAG
This 525-nucleotide ribosomal RNA is filed under the name uncultured bacterium. Its description in RNAcentral is "bacterial SSU rRNA". It matches the Rfam family "Bacterial small subunit ribosomal RNA", at positions 984 to 1509 of the family's 1533-position model. The record is from RNAcentral.